GGUUGAUCCUGCCAGUAGUCAUAUGCUUGUCUCAAAGACUAAGCCAUGCAUGUCUAAGUAUAAACAACUUUAUACUGCGAAACUGCGAACGGCUCAUUAAAUCAGUUAUAAUCUACUUGAUCGUAUCAUCUUACUUGGAUAACCGUAGUAAUUCUAGAGCUAAUACAUGCGAAAAGUCCUGAUUGUGGCAACACGAGAGGGAUGUAUUUAUUAGGUACAAAAUCAAUGCUGGCCAUUCAAACUGCGGGCAACCGUGGGGUCAGGAAAUGAGAUGAUUCAUAAUAACUAAACGA
Molecule: ribosomal RNA, 293 nt
Filed under: uncultured eukaryote
Lineage: Eukaryota
Description: partial 18S ribosomal RNA
Rfam family: Eukaryotic small subunit ribosomal RNA
Source: RNAcentral